UGCUGUUCGUACUCGCUACUCGUUGCGCUAUCAUUGUGCGUUGUAUUUGUUUUGAUGUUUGUUACUUACCACCGUGUGUAUUAUUUUUCCGUUCCCUUUUCCCUCAUGCUGUAAAACAUCACGCGUUAUGUGUUACGAGGCCGGGGAGAAGUGGACAGAGACAGAACUGCAUGCAUCCUAAUACCAGGAAACCCAGAUGGAUCGGAUCGAUGGCCGUGAUGAGGCUCUAAAUGUGAAGAGUCAUCACAUGAAAAGAAAGGCUGCAGCAGGAAGUGAAGGACAGCUCUUCAGGAACUAGAGAAACAGCUGCUCGCAGGCCUGGAUUGCGCGUGGUCCCCAGGCCUGUGAUCUCAUUCGCACGAUGGACGUCCCUCGACGUGGACAAACAGCAUCUGACUUUUCGCUCAUCACUAAAUCAAGCUGAUGAUCAGGAGCGAGUCCAAACUGCUCACAUCAUGCAGACAUUUUAUAAAGUUGUAUCCACUCAAGCUUGACUUUAUGUGCUUUUGUGUAUUUGCAGAGCUGCUUUAUGUGGUAUGGGGAGAGCGGAGAGCCAUUCAGUGCACAAAACAAUAUUAUAACAAAAGAAAGAGCACAUUGGGCUUCCAAAUGGUGUCUGUGGAAAAGUGUAAAAACUUUUUAUAUAGAAAUUUAUUUAUUUAUUUACAGUUUUAUUCUGCUUUUUAUAGAUUGAUCGAACAUCACAGAUUAAUCAAAAGACAGUACGUUUUUUUUAGUUUUAAACAUCUGAACAGUAUUCUAAUA
This is a long non-coding RNA of Puntigrus tetrazona (Sumatra barb), 765 nucleotides long. RefSeq lists it as uncharacterized. Lineage: Eukaryota; Metazoa; Chordata; Actinopteri; Cypriniformes; Cyprinidae. The transcript is spliced from 3 exons. The record is from RefSeq and is a predicted model, not a curated record.